Long non-coding RNA from Pan paniscus (pygmy chimpanzee), 930 nucleotides. Lineage: Eukaryota; Metazoa; Chordata; Mammalia; Primates; Hominidae. The record is from Ensembl.
UAUAUAGAUAUAUAAAUAGAAAUAAAUCUAUACACAAUUUAGUAUCAUAUGCACAUAAAUAUUUUUUAAGUUUCCAAAUAUUCUCUUCUAGUUGAAUAUAAAAAUGGCAAGAAAAAUCAUGCUAAACAUUCAAUGUGAAAGUUUUAUGAGAAAACAUGAAAGGUGAACUCUUGGCCUUUGAAGUAUUAAAGGUAUACAGACAUUCCUUUGAAGAAGGCAAAUGUUAUACAAUAUAUGCAUUGUUCAAUGACAAAUUUACAUGGUGUCAAAAUAACAUUCAGGCUGUGAUUAAAUUGGCAAAUGUAAGCACAAGUGACCAAGCUGAUUUCGUUGUAUGUUUGUCUACUGUUUUCAAAAUAUAUUUUUUUUACCAACUUGUAAAGAAUUUCUAUUCCCAAGCCUUCCUGUUGACCAUCCUUGGUAAAAUGAUGAGAAUAUGGUGCAGUUGUAUACAUUUUGAACAGGACAAAGGAGAGAAAGAACAUCUGCCCAGCUGGGUCAUAUGUGCGUUGACAGCGAGCGGCAGAACAAGGAGUACCAGGGGCUUAUGGACUUCACCUCACAGCUGGAGUAGGAGAUCUCUCUGUAUCGCAGCCAGCUAGAAGGCCAGGAAUAUUGCUACAACAACCUGCCCAACUCCAAGGUCCUCUGAGUGGCAGGCUCCUGGGUUUCUGCUCUCCUUCAGGGGGAGUCCCUAGGCUGGGGAAUAGGAAUCGAAGGACCCUUACCUCUGGCUCUUCACUGACCUGCCAAUAAAAUAAUAUGGCCCAAGGAAAAAAAUUAAAAUAAUAAAAAUAAUCAGAUAAUAAAAUGAAAUAAAAUACAAUAAACAUUUUAUUUUAAUAUCUACUUUUUUUAUUUUUCGACCCUGCUUCUUAUCUAGGGUCCAAUUUCAUUAAUAUCUUUGCAUGCUGAGCAUGUGUUCUGGAC